GUGGGCGUAGCUCAGUUUGGUAGAGCGCCGCGUUGUGGUCGCGGAUGUCGCGGGUUCAAGUCCCGUCGUUCACCCCA
This 77-nucleotide transfer RNA is filed under the name Nocardioides sp. RNAcentral's name for it is "tRNA-His". It matches the Rfam family "tRNA". Rfam says of the family: Transfer RNA (tRNA) molecules are approximately 80 nucleotides in length. Their secondary structure includes four short double-helical elements and three loops (D, anti-codon, and T loops). Further hydrogen bonds mediate the characteristic L-shaped molecular structure. tRNAs have two regions of fundamental functional importance: the anti-codon, which is responsible for specific mRNA codon recognition, and the 3' end, to which the tRNAs corresponding amino acid is attached (by aminoacyl-tRNA synthetases). tRNAs cope with the degeneracy of the genetic code in two manners: having more than one tRNA (with a specific anti-codon) for a particular amino acid; and 'wobble' base-pairing, i.e. permitting non-standard base-pairing at the 3rd anti-codon position. The record is from RNAcentral. Lineage: Bacteria; Bacillati; Actinomycetota; Actinomycetes; Propionibacteriales; Nocardioidaceae. RNAcentral also lists the same sequence under 1 other name.